RNAcentral lists this ribosomal RNA (664 nucleotides) under Sarcocystis miescheriana. RNAcentral describes it as "SSU rRNA". It matches the Rfam family "Eukaryotic small subunit ribosomal RNA", at positions 455 to 1077 of the family's 1831-position model. The record is from RNAcentral. Lineage: Eukaryota; Apicomplexa; Conoidasida; Eucoccidiorida; Sarcocystidae.
CUCAGGGAGGUAGUGACAAGAAAUAACAACACUGGAAAUUUGAUUUCUAGUGAUUGGAAUGAUGGGAAUCCAAACCCCUUUCAGAGUAACAAUUGGAGGGCAAGUCUGGUGCCAGCAGCCGCGGUAAUUCCAGCUCCAAUAGCGUAUAUUAAAGUUGUUGCAGUUAAAAAGCUCGUAGUUGGAUGUCUGUUGGAAGCAAUCAUCAGUCCGCCCUAUUUGAUUAGGGUGUGAAUAUGAUGAAUUCCGGCAUAAUUGUCUCCCUAUUGUUAAUAUUCUGAUUGUUAGAUUCAUUUCUAACAAUAAUACGAUUAUUAAUAAUAAGGGGGAAAUGUUACUUUGAGAAAAUUAGAGUGUUUGAAGCAGGCUUUUGUUGCCUUGAAUACUGCAGCAUGGAAUAACAAUAUAGGAUUUCGGUUCUAUUUUGUUGGUUCUUUUUUUAGGACUGAAAUAAUGAUUAAUAGGGACAGUUGGGGGCAUUCGUAUUUAACUGUCAGAGGUGAAAUUCUUAGAUUUGUUAAAGACGAACUACUGCGAAAGCAUUUGCCAAAGAUGUUUUCAUUAAUCAAGAACGAAAGUUAGGGGCUCGAAGACGAUCAGAUACCGUCGUAGUCUUAACCAUAAACUAUGCCGACUAGAGAUAGGAAAUUGUCAUUUUACUUGACUU